AUGAAGUGACUGGGAUGACCACAUCCUAAUACAGUGUUACAAGUGGAAGAGAUGCCCUUUUCUCCUAUAACCGUUCCUGGCAGAGACACCUAUAUAUCCGCCCCACUGAAAUUCUCCUGAGUGUGUCGUUAAACAGAAAGUAGAUGCCACCCAGAAACAACAUUCAGAAGAAUAAGGCAUCAGUGUCUUCCCCACAUUUAGUUUGUGACUUGCAGGACAGAUUCUGCCAGAAUGUGAAUAUUUAGGAAUUGCAUACAGAAGGGGUGCUAAAGGUGAAGGCUGCACUUGACGGGAAGGAGACUGAUGUGAAACUAGUGAUAAGAGGGACAGUCAUUUCUGAAUGUCUUCCAGUGGGGUACCG
Long non-coding RNA from Mizuhopecten yessoensis (Yesso scallop), 361 nucleotides. RefSeq lists it as uncharacterized. The record is from RefSeq and is a predicted model, not a curated record. The transcript has 3 exons. NCBI's taxonomy places the organism in Eukaryota, Metazoa, Mollusca, Bivalvia, Pectinida, Pectinidae.